AANCCUGCAUGUCUAAGUAUAAGCAACUUGUACUGUGAAACUGCGAAUGGCUCAUUAAAUCAGUUAUCGUUUAUUUGAUAGUACCUUACUACAUGGAUACCUGUGGUAAUUCUAGAGCUAAUACAUGCUAAAAACCCCGACUUCAGGAAGGGGUGUAUUUAUUAGAUAAAAAACCAACGCCCUUCGGGGCUCCUUGGUGAAUCAUAAUAACUUAACGAAUCGCAUGGCCUUGCGCCGGCGAUGGUUCAUUCAAAUUUCUGCCCUAUCAACUUUCGAUGGUAGGAUAGUGGCCUACCAUGGUGGCAACGGGUAACGGGGAAUUAGGGUUCGAUUCCGGAGAGGGAGCCUGAGAAACGGCUACCACAUCCAAGGAAGGCAGCAGGCGCGCAAAUUACCCAAUCCCGAUACGGGGAGGUAGUGACAAUAAAUACUGAUACGGGGCUCUUUUGGGUCUCGUAAUUGGAAUGAGAACAAUUUAAAUCCCUUAACGAGGAACAAUUGGAGGGCAAGUCUGGUGCCAGCAGCCGCGGUAAUUCCAGCUCCAAUAGCGUAUAUUAAAGUUGUUGCAGUUAAAAAGCUCGUAGUUGAACCUUGGGUCUGGCUGGCCGGUCCGCCUCACCGCGAGUACUGGUCCGGCUGGACCUUUCCUUCUGGGGAACCUCAUGGCCUUCACUGGCUGUGGGGGGAACCAGGACUUUUACUGUGAAAAAAUUAGAGUGUUCAAAGCAGGCCUUUGCUCGAAUACAUUAGCAUGGAAUAAUAGAAUAGGACGUGUGGUUCUAUUUUGUUGGUUUCUAGGACCGCCGUAAUGAUUAAUAGGGAUAGUCGGGGGCGUCAGUAUUCAGCUGUCAGAGGUGAAAUUCUUGGAUUUGCUGAAGACUAACUACUGCGAAAGCAUUCGCCAAGGAUGUUUUCAUUAAUCAGGGAACGAAAGUUAGGGGAUCGAAGACGAUCAGAUACCGUCGUAGUCUUAACCAUAAACUAUGCCGACUAGGGAUCGGACGGGAUUCUAUAAUGACCCGUUCGGCACCUUACGAGAAAUCAAAGUUUUUGGGUUCUGGGGGGGAGUAUNGNUCGCA
Molecule: ribosomal RNA, 1079 nt
Filed under: Penicillium hirsutum
Lineage: Eukaryota; Fungi; Ascomycota; Eurotiomycetes; Eurotiales; Aspergillaceae
Description: SSU rRNA
Rfam family: Eukaryotic small subunit ribosomal RNA
Source: RNAcentral